CUAAGGGGUGUCCCUCCUUUUUUGCAAGCUUCAGAUAUUUGAAGGAUUCCUUAAUUCUGCAGUGGUGUUGAAGACUGAAAUCCUGCAUGCCACUCAUGAUUUGUGUAAUCCUGAAGAUGUUGAUUAACUUCUCUGGAGAAAGAUUAAAUCCCUUGGACCCAGUCAGAUCAGUGCUUGCUGUUUUUGAGAAAGAGAUUCUUGAGAGAGGGCUGUGAAUUGCAAUUUGAGUAGGAAGAAAUUUUAUCCAAACAUGUGCAUCAUCUAAUGGCAAAAAAUGGCUCCAAGUGAAGAUGAAGAAACUAAGACCCAGAGAAUUUAAAUAAUUUCUCCAAGGGGCUGUGGUUAUUAUGUGGUGGAGCCAUGAAGUGAACCCAAAUAGUCCAGCUUUAGAUAUCAUUCAAAGGUGUCCUAAGGUGCUGGUGAUGACCUGGUCUUC
Nyctereutes procyonoides (raccoon dog) is the source of this 436-nucleotide long non-coding RNA. RefSeq lists it as uncharacterized. The record is from RefSeq and is a predicted model, not a curated record. The transcript is spliced from 3 exons. Lineage: Eukaryota; Metazoa; Chordata; Mammalia; Carnivora; Canidae.